This 343-nucleotide unclassified non-coding RNA is filed under the name Hevea brasiliensis (rubber tree). Lineage: Eukaryota; Viridiplantae; Streptophyta; Magnoliopsida; Malpighiales; Euphorbiaceae. The record is from RNAcentral.
CAAGUCCUCAAACGAAAGGCUGGUUGACUGAAGCUGUUUGAUUUGAUCAUCUCUCUCCUCCACUGUAAACUCUAGAGCACUGCAGUUAGUCUGAAGCUCCCAGUAGCUGUCACGAAGUCCCUAGAGACGUUCUUGCAUAAGAUGGUUAACUAUCACCGCCUCCAAGCUCAAACUCAUGGAUCAAAAAAUCAAAUCAUAAUCGCUCUCAGGCUCAAGCCGAGCUCAAUCCUUAGGAAGAGUCAACUUCCUUCUAAGCAGCUCUGCUAGUGGGAGAUUCUUGGCUAUUUGGGUUUGCUUCCUCAAAAUGGCAUCUAGCCCACUGGCACUUGGUGUUGUGGCGGGG